RNAcentral lists this ribosomal RNA (323 nucleotides) under uncultured bacterium. RNAcentral describes it as "bacterial SSU rRNA". It matches the Rfam family "Bacterial small subunit ribosomal RNA", at positions 28 to 334 of the family's 1533-position model. The record is from RNAcentral.
GACGAACGCUGGCGGUAUGCUUAACACAUGCAAGUCGAACGAGAAGCUUUUUAAUGAACCUUCGGGUGAUUUAAGAAGCAGACAGUGGCGAACGGGUGAGUAACGCGUGGGCAACCUGCCUUUCGGAGCGGAAUAGCCUCGGGAAACCGGGAGUAAAGCCGCAUAACAUUAUUUUUUCGCAUGAAGAAAUAAUCAAAACUCCGGUGCCGAAAGAUGGGCCCGCGUCCUAUUAGCUGGUUGGUGAGGCAACGGCUCACCAAGGCGACGAUAGGUAGCCGGUCUGAGAGGGCGAACGGCCACACUGGAACUGAGACACGGUCCAG